This 73-nucleotide transfer RNA is filed under the name candidate division MSBL1 archaeon SCGC-AAA259O05. RNAcentral's name for it is "candidate divison MSBL1 archaeon SCGC-AAA259O05 tRNA". It matches the Rfam family "tRNA". From Rfam's summary of the family: Transfer RNA (tRNA) molecules are approximately 80 nucleotides in length. Their secondary structure includes four short double-helical elements and three loops (D, anti-codon, and T loops). Further hydrogen bonds mediate the characteristic L-shaped molecular structure. tRNAs have two regions of fundamental functional importance: the anti-codon, which is responsible for specific mRNA codon recognition, and the 3' end, to which the tRNAs corresponding amino acid is attached (by aminoacyl-tRNA synthetases). tRNAs cope with the degeneracy of the genetic code in two manners: having more than one tRNA (with a specific anti-codon) for a particular amino acid; and 'wobble' base-pairing, i.e. permitting non-standard base-pairing at the 3rd anti-codon position. The record is from Rfam by way of RNAcentral. Lineage: Archaea; Methanobacteriati; Methanobacteriota.
GGGUGGGUAGUUCAAAUAGCAGAACACCUCCUUUACGAGGAGACAGUUGGAGGUGCAAGUCCUCCUCCACUCG